UGGCGAACGGGUGAGUAACACGUGGGCAACCUGCCCAAANAGGGGGAUAACACUUGGAAACAGGUGCUAAUACCGCAUAACCAUAGUUACCGCAUGGUAACUAUGUAAAAGGUGGCUAUACUACCGCUUUUGGAUGGGCCCGCGGCGCAUUAGCUAGUUGGUAGGGUAAAGGCUUACCAAGGCAAUGAUGCGUAGCCGAAUUGAGAGGUUGAUCGGCCACAUUGGGACUGAGACACGGCCCAAACUCCUACGGGAGGCAGCAG
This 263-nucleotide ribosomal RNA is filed under the name uncultured bacterium. RNAcentral describes it as "partial 16S ribosomal RNA". It matches the Rfam family "Bacterial small subunit ribosomal RNA", at positions 96 to 354 of the family's 1533-position model. The record is from RNAcentral.